RNAcentral lists this ribosomal RNA (433 nucleotides) under uncultured bacterium. RNAcentral describes it as "partial 16S ribosomal RNA". It matches the Rfam family "Bacterial small subunit ribosomal RNA", at positions 29 to 507 of the family's 1533-position model. The record is from RNAcentral.
AACGAACGCUGGCGGCAUGCCUAACACAUGCAAGUCGAACGAGACCUUCGGGUCUAGUGGCGCACGGGUGCGUAACGCGUGGGAACCUGCCCUUAGGUUCGGAAUAACUCCCCGAAAGGGGUGCUAAUACCGGAUAAUGUCUUCGGACCAAAGAUUUAUCGCCUUUGGAUGGGCCCGCGUUGGAUUAGCUAGUUGGUAGGGUAAAAGCCUACCAAGGCGACGAUCCAUUGCUGGUCUGAGAGGAUGAUCAGCCACACUGGGACUGAGACACGGCCCAGACUCCUACGGGAGGCAGCAGUGGGGAAUAUUGGGCAAUGGGCGAAAGCCUGAUCCAGCAAUGCCGCGUGAGUGAUGAAGGCCUUAGGGUUGUAAAGCUCUUUUACCCGGGAUGAUAAUGACAGUACCGGGAGAAUAAGCUCCGGCUAACUCCGUG